AAAUAGAUUUUUUCCUCUUUGAAUGGAUAAGUCAUAUGCUUUCUAAAUUUUUCUGAUUAAUGUAUGCCAGCAGGGUUGACCCCUCCCUGCUUGAAUGGAUCUUGCAUUUCAAGAACCAACUUGAACAUGCUGUCUGCAGCAGACGGUUCCCAGUGUGUGAACAUUAAGUGUAGCUUUGGUAAUGUAAUACAUAUUAUAAUGUUACUCAAUUGCUUAUUAGUUUAACCCAUUGAGCCGCACUACUUAUUUUUUUACUUGUCUAACGCCAGACGAUUUUACUCGUCAAUGUGGGAGCCCUGUAGUUUAAUGGGUUAACCAAAAAAUCUGACAAUGUGUCUAGUUAACCCAUUGAGCCACAAUGCGCCCUAUAUUUUUUUACUUGUCUAACACCAGAUAAUUUUACUUGUCAAUGGGGAAGCCACCCCCCCCC
Molecule: non-coding RNA, 430 nt
Organism: Paramuricea clavata
Lineage: Eukaryota; Metazoa; Cnidaria; Anthozoa; Malacalcyonacea; Plexauridae
Source: the annotation of a GenBank genome assembly